RNAcentral lists this small RNA (344 nucleotides) under Histoplasma capsulatum var. duboisii H88. Its description in RNAcentral is "Histoplasma capsulatum H88 hypothetical RNA". Lineage: Eukaryota; Fungi; Ascomycota; Eurotiomycetes; Onygenales; Ajellomycetaceae. The record is from RNAcentral.
CCUAACUCUGGCAAGUUGCUCUUAGAUCGCUGAGUCGCCUGGUCGGGCUAUCUUUCCCACUGUGAUUGCGGAGCGAAAUAGUGCUCUGGAUAGCUUUGGGGAGUCUCGUGGGUGUAACUGGCAAUGUGGCAAGGUCCAGGCAUUCGGGCUUCUCAUAAGCCAAUAGAGAGGCGCUUGGGCUUCUUGCCGCAUUUCUCGGAAGCACAGCGUCGGUUGGAGUAGACCUCUCAGGAUCAACGUCGGGGGCUAUAUGGACACUAUGGGCGGAUUCCGAUCUGGCGACAACAGAUGGGUUUUGAACGGCCGGGCGAGAAAUGGAGAUGGGUAUAUCAGGAGAUAGGCGG